AGCGAACGCUGGCGGCACGCUUAACACAUGCAAGUCGCGCGGGUGGUUUCGGCCAUCAGCGGCGGACGGGUGAGUAUCGCGUAGGAAUGUAUCCCGAGGUGGGGGACAACCCUGGGAAACUGGGGCUAAUACCGCAUGGGGCCUGUGGGUCAAAGCCUUAGGGCGCCUUGGGAGCAGCCUGCGUCCGAUUAGGUAGUUGGUGGGGUAAAGGCCUACCAAGCCUGCGAUCGGUAGCUGGUCUGAGAGGACGAUCAGCCACACUGGGACUGAGACACGGCCCAGACUCCUACGGGAGGCAGCAGUGGGGAAUAUUGGACAAUGGGCGCAAGCCUGAUCCAGCAAUGCCGCGUGGGUGAAGAAGGUCUUCGGAUUGUAAAGCCCUUUCGGCGGGGACGAUGAUGACGGUACCCGCAGAAGAAGCCCCGGCUAACUUCGUG
RNAcentral lists this ribosomal RNA (437 nucleotides) under uncultured bacterium. Its description in RNAcentral is "partial 16S ribosomal RNA". It matches the Rfam family "Bacterial small subunit ribosomal RNA", at positions 28 to 507 of the family's 1533-position model. The record is from RNAcentral.